UACGGAGGGGGCUAGCGUUGUUCGGUAUUAUUGGGCGUAAAGAGCUCGUAGGCGGUCUGUCGCGUCUGCUGUGAAAACUCGGGGCUUAACCCCGGGCCUGCAGUGGGUACGGGCAGACUAGAGUGCGGUAGGGGAGACUGGAAUUCCUGGUGUAGCGGUGAAAUGCGCAGAUAUCAGGAGGAACACCGGUGGCGAAGGCGGGUCUCUGGGCCGUAACUGACGCUGAGGAGCGAAAGCGUGGGGAGCGAACAGG
RNAcentral lists this ribosomal RNA (253 nucleotides) under uncultured bacterium. RNAcentral describes it as "partial 16S ribosomal RNA". It matches the Rfam family "Bacterial small subunit ribosomal RNA", at positions 524 to 776 of the family's 1533-position model. The record is from RNAcentral.